Long non-coding RNA from Dreissena polymorpha, 491 nucleotides. RefSeq lists it as uncharacterized. Lineage: Eukaryota; Metazoa; Mollusca; Bivalvia; Myida; Dreissenidae. The transcript has 3 exons. The record is from RefSeq and is a predicted model, not a curated record.
CCACAGCAGAAACAAUCAGAAAAUCAAACCACAAUGGCGGGUAUGUUCCCGCAAAGGUUCAAUUUUUGGAACUGCGAAUGUUGCAAAAAUUAUUGCUCGCAGCGCCAGUGAAGUAAAUACUUGUAGUACUUACCUAAAAUAAAGAUGUCUCUGUUCCAAGAUCCCUCAGGACAGGUUUGGAGACACAAAUACACAAGAUGAACACAGAUACAAAAGUAGACGUCCGUCCAGAUGUAAAGCUACAGUAUGACUCUCGAUUAUCUGCAUUGGUUUCCGGUCAAUCGAUUAGCCUCCCCCGUACUGUUCCGGUUACACACUAGUAAAUUUACCACAGUUCUGACGGCAGUUCCGGUCUGAAACAAAUCAGAAACAACGACAAUGGGGAGCGUACAUAUCAGACGACUUCCGAAAGUGGGGGCAGCGUCGCCGGUAUACACGAACACGCCAGCAAAAACCGAACCAUCGGAAUGGGAGAGCUCAAUGUCGUGAUG